UACAGAGGGGGCAAGCGUUAUUCGGAAUUAUUGGGCGUAAAGGGCGCGUAGGCGGUCACGCACGUCCGUUGUGAAAUCGCUCGGCUCAACUGGGCGGGGUCAGCGGAUACGGUGUGACUGGAGCAAGCUAGGGGGCAAUGGAAUUCCCGGUGUAGUGGUGGAAUGCGUAGAUAUCGGGAGGAACACCAGUGGCGAAGGCGGUUGCCUGGAGCUUUGCUGACGCUGAUGCGCGAAAGCGUGGGGAGCGAGUCCGG
This 254-nucleotide ribosomal RNA is filed under the name uncultured bacterium. RNAcentral's name for it is "partial 16S ribosomal RNA". It matches the Rfam family "Bacterial small subunit ribosomal RNA", at positions 524 to 777 of the family's 1533-position model. The record is from RNAcentral.